Molecule: ribosomal RNA, 274 nt
Filed under: uncultured bacterium
Lineage: Bacteria
Description: partial 16S ribosomal RNA
Rfam family: Bacterial small subunit ribosomal RNA
Source: RNAcentral
AUACGGAGGGUGCAAGCGUUAUUCGGAAUCACUGGGCGUAAAGCGUCCGUAGGCGGUCGGGUAAGUCGGGUGAGAAAGCCCCGGGCUCAACCUGGGAAGUGCACCCGAUACUGCUCGACUCGAGUGCGGGAGAGGAUGGCGGAAUUCCCGGUGUAGCGGUGAAAUGCGUAGAGAUCGGGAGGAACACCAGUGGCGAAGGCGGCCAUCUGGCCCGCAACUGACGCUGAGGGACGAAAGCGUGGGGAGCAAACAGGAUUAGAAACCCUAGUAGUCC